CAAACCUAGACCAAUUAUAUAGAUAUAUAUUCAAGAAAAUGUUUAAAAAUCAACUUUUAAAAUUAUAAUUUAACAUAUGCAUGUUAAAUAUGUUGCCCUCACAAAGUUAAAUUGUGGCCCUUGACUGACAGUACUGUGUUAUAAGUUAAUGCUAAGAAUAUGAAACCUGAUUAACUCUUUGAAUGUUACAAAUGACUAUAAACAGAAGGAGUGCUUCAAGUCCAUCAUCAGCAAAAAGGAAGCAGUUCAGUGUUUCAUUCACCUGAAAUGUUUAAAAGAAAGACUGAAGUAUACAACACAUCAAUCAAGGUAAUUUGAAGAUAAAUUAAGUGAACUUCAGUUGAAGAAAAAGAUAUUCUAACAAGAAAGUUACCACUGCCCAGGCCAUUUUGUGUUUCAAAGCCUCUAGGUUGGUUUCCAUUUCACUCACAAACGCAAUACUUUUGUAGCGCUCCUCUUUCUCGACAUAGUGCUGCUUAAGAUCUUGAAGACGCUAAAAAAAAGUAAAAAGAUUCAGAUGUUAAUGAGAGUAAAGGAUUGUUGGUCUAA
Mauremys reevesii (Reeves's turtle) is the source of this 549-nucleotide long non-coding RNA. RefSeq lists it as uncharacterized. The record is from RefSeq and is a predicted model, not a curated record. NCBI's taxonomy places the organism in Eukaryota, Metazoa, Chordata, Testudines, Geoemydidae. The transcript has 2 exons.